UGUAGCACAGCGGGAGGUGGCAAAAGAGGAGAUGCUAUUUGCAUAAAGUGUUUCUGGUAAAGAGAUAGAAACAGAAGAAUAGAAUAAAAAGGGCCCUUUUCUCCUAUGUUACUGGCUUCAGGGAAUAUAUUUCAUACCAAGAAAAGGAAUGGAUAGAACUGAGAUCGUAGGAUUGACUGCUGCAGCGAACAUUGUUUAUGUGCCAACAUCCACAGUAUACAAAUGAUACGGCCAUGGGACCCGGAUGGAAAAUGCAGUGAGCACUAGGAGACAGUCCCCGGCCCCAGAGCUCGCAGCCUCUGGAAGCAAACACACAGCCCAGGUGAGAAAGCAAAGGUCCACAGAAGGAGAUGGCGUGCCCUGCCAAAUUCAGUUUUCCUCUGCUACAAGCCACAAUUCUAUAUACAAACCUCGGUAAAAGAAGAAAAGCAAUACUUCUCCUGCCUACUGCACAGACUUAUACUGAGUGAAGAGGUGAAUUUGCAGGAUGAAGCUAGAAAGCUGAGUCCAUCAUCUGAGAAGAAAAGGUCGAAGAAGGCCAAGGACAGAUCCUUCAAAUCCUUGGAGCUCUACAACGUUUAAGGAUGUUGCAGAGAAAGAAAUGCCAGUUAAGGGACUGAAGAGAAGGCAACGAGGUCAGAGGAAAAUUGGGUGAAUGUGAUAUCCUUGGAGGCCUAGAGCAGAAGGUAUUACAAGAAAGAGGGUGUGAUCGGCUGAGUCAAAUGCUGGGCAGAAUUUGAAUGAGAUGAAUACAGCAAGCCGACUAUUGGAUUCAGGCAAGACAGAAGUUAUUGGUGAGCUUAAACAGCCCAGUUUCAGAGCUCAGAGAUGGAGACCAAAACCCAAUAGGAAUGGUUUGAGGAGAAGAUGGGAUGUGAGGAAGUAAAGCCAGUGAGUAUAGACAACUCUUUUGAGG
RNAcentral lists this long non-coding RNA (916 nucleotides) under Equus caballus (horse). Its description in RNAcentral is "lncRNA (ENSECAG00000043713.2)". The record is from RNAcentral. Lineage: Eukaryota; Metazoa; Chordata; Mammalia; Perissodactyla; Equidae.